AGUAAUUUAGUUUAUAAAAACCUUAAAUUGCAAAUUUAAAAAUCUUCUUA
Molecule: transfer RNA, 50 nt
Filed under: Neoscona scylla
Lineage: Eukaryota; Metazoa; Arthropoda; Arachnida; Araneae; Araneidae
Description: tRNA-Cys
Source: RNAcentral